This is an RNA transcript of Amaranthus tricolor (Joseph's coat), 1563 nucleotides long. It is a transcript of the gene named MADS-box protein JOINTLESS, with no coding region annotated. The record is from RefSeq and is a predicted model, not a curated record. The transcript is spliced from 9 exons. Lineage: Eukaryota; Viridiplantae; Streptophyta; Magnoliopsida; Caryophyllales; Amaranthaceae.
AUGCUUCACUAAAUUUGGCCAUAGCUCUUUUGAUCUCUCUCUCCUGUCACACAUUUCACUUAUAGGGUUCCUAACUUUCUAUUAUUGUUUGGGUGCACUUUAAUAUCCAGAGAGAUUGAACCCCAUAAAUUGGCAUCCAGUAAGAUUCAAUAAUUGAGGGUCGAGGACCAAACCCUAAAUUCUCCUUUUUAUCCCUUUGCGCGGUAACAAAAACCCAAAUUGUUGAAUUGGUUAGAUUUUUCCAUGUUCCCUUAAUCUGUCCUCUGCAAUUAAAAAAUGGGUUCUUUUAGACACCUGCUUGUUAAAAUUCCUAAAUGAAUGGUUUUUAAAAAAAAUAAUUUUGCUUCCGUCAUUUCUUGCUAUCAAAUCGAAACAUUAAAAUGGUCAUACCCCAUUUGAUGAUUUCCCUUUCUGGGUGAUGGGUUUUUCUGGAAUUUUGAUUUGAUUAAUUGUGUUUUACACACUGGUUUAUUCUGUGUAAAGGAGGGAAAAGGGUGGUAAUCCUGUCGGCGUGGUGAUUAGGUUAAAUUUCAGUUUUUGGAGUUGGGUAGAUAAAGAGAGAGUAAUAGAAGGGGAAAAAACAGAAAAAAUGGCAAGGGAGAAGAUAAAAAUUAAGAAAAUUGAUAAUACAACAGCUAGACAAGUGACAUUUUCUAAAAGGAGAAGAGGAUUGUUCAAGAAGGCUGAGGAGCUUAGCAUUUUGUGUGAUGCUGAUGUUGCUCUUAUUAUCUUUUCUGCUACUGGAAAACUCUUUGAGUAUUCCAACAUCAGUAUGAACACCAUACUUGAAAGACAUAAGUUGCACUCGAAGAACUUAGAGAAGCUGGAGCAACCCUCUUUAAGGUUACAGCUUGUUGAAAAUGGCAACUACACUAUGUUGAAUGAAGAGAUAGCGAAUAAAAGCCAACAGCUAAGACAUAUGCGCGGGGAGGAGCUUCAGGGAUUAAGUAUAGAAGAGUUGCAAGAGCUGGAAAAGUCCCUUGAGUUUGGAUUAAAACAAAUAAUUGAUAAAAAGGGUGAAAAGAUUACUAAUGAAAUUAACUCGCUCAAGCAAAAGGGUAUAGAAUUGACGGAGGAAAAUGAGUGGCUAAGACAGCAAGUGCUGGAAGUCUCUAAGGGGAUACAACAAUCUGCAGAUUCUGAGAAUUUAUGUUAUGAAGACGGCCAGUCAUCUGAGUCAGUCAGUAAUGGAAGUAGUUCUGGUCCUUCACAGGAUAACGAUGAAAGCUCAGAUACUUAUCUCAAGUUAGGGCCAGGCGUUGAUAUUUUUCAUUCAGCUCGUGCAUAACGACCCACACAGAUGUUUCAAAACCCAAAGAUUGUCCGUUUAAUGAGGACUGAUUGGCAUGGUCUGGCUAGAUGAAGAGACCAUAGGAGAUCACUUGCAAUCUUGUAUCUAUUGUUAACCUAUGCUCCUUCUGUGUUCGUUACCCGUAUAACUGUAAUGUUCUAGUAAUGUAUUAUCCUUUUGUACCCUUUAGCCAAAUAAGAAAUGUAAUGUUAUGGAGCUACUACUAAAAUGAUAAGUAAUAUGCUAUCAAUAGAAGCUAUUGCGUUUUCUUA